CCCUUAUCACUUUUCCAGCCCAGCUUUCUAACUCGAAGUGUUGGACGGAGAACUGAUAAGGGU
Molecule: microRNA precursor, 63 nt
Filed under: Dasypus novemcinctus (nine-banded armadillo)
Lineage: Eukaryota; Metazoa; Chordata; Mammalia; Cingulata; Dasypodidae
Description: microRNA dno-mir-184 precursor
Gene: dno-mir-184
Rfam family: mir-184 microRNA precursor family
Source: miRBase by way of RNAcentral